AUGGUAUCAGUGGUAGGGGAGCGUUCUAAGUGCAGUGAAGUCAGACCGGAAGGACUGGUGGAGCGCUUAGAAGUGAGAAUGCCGGUAUGAGUAGCGAAAGACGGGUGAGAAUCCCGUCCACCGAAUGCCUAAGGUUUCCUGAGGAAGGCUCGUCCGCUCAGGGUUAGUCAGGACCUAAGCCGAGGCCGACAGGCGUAGGCGAUGGACAACAGGUUGAUAUUCCUGUACCACCUCUUUAUCGUUUGAGCAAUGGAGGGACGCAGAAGGAUAGAAGAAGCGUGCGAUUGGUUGUGCACGUCCAAGCAGUUAGGCUGAUAAGUAGGCAAAUCCGCUUAUCGUGAAGGCUGAGCUGUGAUGGGGAAGCUCCUUAUGGAGCGAAGUCUUUGAUUCCCCGCUGCCAAGAAAAGCUUCUAGCGAGAUAAAAGGUGCCUGUACCGCAAACCGACACAGGUAGGCGAGGAGAGAAUCCUAAGGUGUGCGAGAGAACUCUGGUUAAGGAACUCGGCAAAAUGACCCCGUAACUUCGGGAGAAGGGGUGCUUUCUUAACGGAAAGCCGCAGUGAAUAGGCCCAAGCGACUGUUUAGCAAAAACACAGGUCUCUGCGAAGCCGUAAGGCGAAGUAUAGGGGCUGACACCUGCCCGGUGCUGGAAGGUUAAGGAGAGGGGUUAGCGUAAGCGAAGCUCUGAACUGAAGCCCCAGUAAACGGCGGCCGUAACUAUAACGGUCCUAAGGUAGCGAAAUUCCUUGUCGGGUAAGUUCCGACCCGCACGAAAGGUGUAACGAUUUGGGCACUGUCUCAACCAGAGACUCGGUGAAAUUAUAGUACCUGUGAAGAUGCAGGUUACCCGCGACAGGACGGAAAGACCCCGUGGAGCUUUACUGUAGCCUGAUAUUGAAUUUUGGUACAGUUUGUACAGGAUAGGCGGGAGCCAUUGAAACCGGAGCGCUAGCUUCGGUGGAGGCGCUGGUGGGAUACCGCCCUGACUGUAUUGAAAUUCUAACCUACGGGUCUCAUCGACCCGGGAGACAGUGUCAGGUGGGCAGUUUGACUGGGGCGGUCGCCUCCUAAAGUGUAACGGAGGCGCCCAAAGGUUCCCUCAGAAUGGUUGGAAAUCAUUCGUAGAGUGCAAAGGCAUAAGGGAGCUUGACUGCGAGACCUACAAGUCGAGCAGGGACGAAAGUCGGGCUUAGUGAUCCGGUGGUUCCGCAUGGAAGGGCCAUCGCUCAACGGAUAAAAGCUACCCCGGGGAUAACAGGCUUAUCUCCCCCAAGAGUCCACAUCGACGGGGAGGUUUGGCACCUCGAUGUCGGCUCAUCGCAUCCUGGGGCUGUAGUCGGUCCCAAGGGUUGGGCUGUUCGCCCAUUAAAGCGGUACGCGAGCUGGGUUCAGAACGUCGUGAGACAGUUCGGUCCCUAUCCGUCGUGGGCGCAGGAAAUUUGAGAGGAGCUGUCCUUAGUACGAGAGGACCGGGAUGGACGCACCGCUGGUGUACCAGUUGUUCUGCCAAGGGCAUAGCUGGGUAGCUAUGUGCGGAAGGGAUAAGUGCUGAAAGCAUCUAAGCAUGAAGCCCCCCUCAAGAUGAGAUUUCCCAUAGCGUAAGCUAGUAAGAUCCCUGAAAGAUGAUCAGGUUGAUAGGUUCGAGGUGGAAGCAUGGUGACAUGUGGAGCUGACGAAUACUAAUAGAUCGAGGACUUAACCAU
Molecule: ribosomal RNA, 1703 nt
Filed under: Bacillus cereus HuA2-4
Lineage: Bacteria; Bacillati; Bacillota; Bacilli; Caryophanales; Bacillaceae
Description: bacterial LSU rRNA
Rfam family: Bacterial large subunit ribosomal RNA
Source: RNAcentral